This 490-nucleotide ribosomal RNA is filed under the name uncultured bacterium. RNAcentral's name for it is "partial 16S ribosomal RNA". It matches the Rfam family "Bacterial small subunit ribosomal RNA", at positions 30 to 507 of the family's 1533-position model. The record is from RNAcentral.
AUUGAACGCUGGCGGCAUGCUUUACACAUGCAAGUCGGACGGCAGCACAGAGAAGCUUGCUUCUUGGGUGGCGAGUGGCGAACGGGUGAGUAAUAUAUCGGAACGUACCGAGUAAUGGGGGAUAACUAAUCGAAAGAUUAGCUAAUACCGCAUAUUCUCUGAGGAGGAAAGCAGGGGACCUUCGGGCCUUGCGUUAUUCGAGCGGCCGAUAUCUGAUUAGCUAGUUGGUGGGGUAAAGGCCUACCAAGGCGACGAUCAGUAGCGGGUCUGAGAGGAUGAUCCGCCACACUGGGACUGAGACACGGCCCAGACUCCUACGGGAGGCAGCAGUGGGGAAUUUUGGACAAUGGGCGCAAGCCUGAUCCAGCCAUGCCGCGUGUCUGAAGAAGGCCUUCGGGUUGUAAAGCACUUUUGUCAGGGAAGAAAAGGCUGUUGCUAAUAUCAAUAGCUGAUGACGGUACCUGAAGAAUAAGCACCGGCUAACUACGUG